AACGGCCGUACCAUGCUGAAUAUACCGGUUCUCGUUCGAUCACCGAAGUCAAGCAUCAUUGGGCGCGGUCAGUACUUGGGUGGGUGACCACUUGGGAACACCGCGUGCCGUU
RNAcentral lists this ribosomal RNA (112 nucleotides) under Caerostris darwini. The record is from RNAcentral. Lineage: Eukaryota; Metazoa; Arthropoda; Arachnida; Araneae; Araneidae.